UAGGGAAUCUUCGGCAAUGGGGGGAACCCUGACCGAGCAACGCCGCGUGAGUGAAGAAGGUUUUCGGAUCGUAAAGCUCUGUUGUUAAGGAAGAACGAGUGUGAGAAUGGAAAGUUCAUGCUGUGACGGUACUUAACCAGAAAGGGACGGCUAACUACGUGCCAGCAGCCGCGGUAAUACGUAGGUCCCGAGCGUUGUCCGGAUUUAUUGGGCGUAAAGCGAGCGCAGGCGGUUAGAAAAGUCUGAAGUGAAAGGCAGUGGCUCAACCAUUGUAGGCUUUGGAAACUGUUUAACUUGAGUGCAGAAGGGGAGAGUGGAAUUCCAUGUGUAGCAGUGAAAUGCGUAGAUAUAUGGAGGAACACCGGUGGCGAAAGCGGCUCUCUGGUCUGUAACUGACGCUGAGGCUCGAAAGCGUGGGGAGCUAACAGG
This 429-nucleotide ribosomal RNA is filed under the name Verrucomicrobiota bacterium. RNAcentral describes it as "Verrucomicrobia bacterium partial 16S ribosomal RNA". It matches the Rfam family "Bacterial small subunit ribosomal RNA", at positions 355 to 776 of the family's 1533-position model. Lineage: Bacteria; Pseudomonadati; Verrucomicrobiota. The record is from RNAcentral.